GACGAACGCUGGCGGCGUGCUUAACACAUGCAAGUCGAACGGAAAGGCCCUGCUUUUGUGGGGUGCUCGAGUGGCGAACGGGUGAGUAACACGUGAGUAACCUGCCCUUGACUUUGGGAUAACUUCAGGAAACUGGGGCUAAUACCGGAUAGGAGCUCCUGCUGCAUGGUGGGGGUUGGAAAGUUUCGGCGGUUGGGGAUGGACUCGCGGCUUAUCAGCUUGUUGGUGGGGUAGUGGCUUACCAAGGCUUUGACGGGUAGCCGGCCUGAGAGGGUGACCGGCCACAUUGGGACUGAGAUACGGCCCAGACUCCGACGGGAGGCAGCAGUGGGGAAUAUUGCACAAUGGGCGGAAGCCUGAUGCAGCAACGCCGCGUGCGGGAUGACGGCCUUCGGGUUGUAAACCGCUUUCGCCUGUGACGAAGCGUGGGUGACGGUAAUGGGUAAAGAAGCACCGGCUAACUACGUG
RNAcentral lists this ribosomal RNA (468 nucleotides) under uncultured bacterium. RNAcentral describes it as "partial 16S ribosomal RNA". It matches the Rfam family "Bacterial small subunit ribosomal RNA", at positions 28 to 507 of the family's 1533-position model. The record is from RNAcentral.